Non-coding RNA from Buceros rhinoceros silvestris, 46 nucleotides. Lineage: Eukaryota; Metazoa; Chordata; Aves; Bucerotiformes; Bucerotidae. The record is from Rfam.
GCAGAGGUUUUUUUUGAAACCACCAUUUUUUUUUUUUACUCACUUU